Molecule: ribosomal RNA, 492 nt
Filed under: Methylophaga sp.
Lineage: Bacteria; Pseudomonadati; Pseudomonadota; Gammaproteobacteria; Thiotrichales; Piscirickettsiaceae
Description: bacterial LSU rRNA
Rfam family: Bacterial large subunit ribosomal RNA
Source: RNAcentral
UAAAAGGUACUCCGGGGAUAACAGGCUGAUACCGCCCAAGAGUUCACAUCGACGGCGGUGUUUGGCACCUCGAUGUCGGCUCAUCACAUCCUGGGGCUGUAGCCGGUCCCAAGGGUAUGGCUGUUCGCCAUUUAAAGUGGUACGCGAGCUGGGUUUAGAACGUCGUGAGACAGUUCGGUCCCUAUCUGCCGUGGGCGUUGGAAAUUUGAGAGGAGCUGCUCCUAGUACGAGAGGACCGGAGUGGACGAACCCCUGGUGUUCGGGUUGUCAUGCCAAUGGCAUUGCCCGGUAGCUAUGUUCGGACGGGAUAACCGCUGAAAGCAUCUAAGCGGGAAGCCCCCCUCAAGAUUAGAUUUCCCCGAGCUUUAAGCUCCUGAAGGGCCGUAGAAGACCACUACGUUGAUAGGUUGGGUGUGGAAGUGCAGUAAUGUAUGAAGCUAACCAAUACUAAUUGCCCGUGAGGCUUGACCAUAUAACCCCAAGUAAGUUGGG